CCAGAUUGUAAAAUUAACCAUCAUCACACAGAACAAUAAAUACAAUAGCAAGGGAAUUAGAACUGGAAGAAAAUACAAAUUAUUUAACAUAUAUAAGUGUCUAACGUGACAGAAGGUCAAGAGGGAAGAGAGAGAGCUUUGCUCUAUGACACAUCUGGAGACCCAAGCUAAUGAGGAAGUUGAGCCAUUCUCAAUGGGUACCUUCCAAGUUAUCGGUCCCAGCCUGCAGGAAGGAGAGGGGGCAGCAACUCCAAGAUUCCCAUUUCUCUGACUCCAUGUCUCUUCCCUUAAUUUCACACCCUAAAGCCCAGGGCACAGGAUACCCACCCCGCCUCCCAGAUUGAGCCUCCACUCUCUGGUCGGGGGCAGCAGGAUUUGGGAGGACUCUUCCCCUCUGCCUUUAGCACCUGAGGCAAAGGAGCCAUCUUGAAACUGCCCAACAACUCAGCACCAGAAGACCGGGAGAGGCCGGCAAUCCUGGGUCUUCCCACGCUGCAUCCACAGAGAUCCACAAGAGGGCGCUCUCCGCGCUACACCUGUUCCUAGACUCUCCCACCGGCCUCCCAGAACGCUACUCAAGUGAAGACUGACAAAUGGGGCAGAAAAACGCCGCCCAGAAAGGCUUGGGAAGGGUACACUCCAGAAUGGAGAAGAGUGUGGUCUACAUGAGUCCCAGCAUCCACGCAGAAGCUUGGAGAAGGUCGGUCCUCAGACCAGUUGUCAGCCUCGGGUUUCCAGAGAUAGAAUGGCCGGCGCUCCUUCCACGCCCCACUCACUGUCUCCGCUGAUGCACACACUCCUUCUACAGGGGACGGCUUACUAUCCUUCUCUGUGUCCUCAGGGCCUGGACGAAUGAAUGAGCAAACAAAGUAUAAUACUUAAGAGGCUUUGGUCCAGAUACAUGUGCACAUGUGUGAAAUGAUAUGUGUACAAACAUAUUCAUUGGAACAGUAUUUGUACUCUGAAAAGAUUGGAAAAAACUUAAAUAUUCAUCAAUAG
RNAcentral lists this long non-coding RNA (999 nucleotides) under Equus caballus (horse). Its description in RNAcentral is "lncRNA (ENSECAG00000038310.2)". The record is from RNAcentral. Lineage: Eukaryota; Metazoa; Chordata; Mammalia; Perissodactyla; Equidae.